This 508-nucleotide ribosomal RNA is filed under the name uncultured bacterium. RNAcentral's name for it is "bacterial SSU rRNA". It matches the Rfam family "Bacterial small subunit ribosomal RNA", at positions 975 to 1482 of the family's 1533-position model. The record is from RNAcentral.
CCAGGCUUGAAGAGCGAGUGACCAUCGGCGAAAGCCGACUUCCGCAAGGACACUCGUAGAGGUGCUGCAUGGCUGUCGUCAGCUCGUGUCGUGAGAUGUUGGGUUAAGUCCCGCAACGAGCGCAACCCUUGUUUGCUGUUGCCAUCACGUGAUGGUGGGCACUCUGCAAAGACUGCCGGUGAUAAACCGGAGGAAGGUGGGGAUGACGUCAAGUCAGCAUGGCCUUUAUGUCUGGGGCUACACACGUGCUACAAUGGCCGAUACAAACCGUCGCGAUACCGCAAGGUGGAGCUAAUCGGAGAAAGUCGGUCUCAGUUCGGAUAGCAGGCUGCAACUCGCCUGCUUGAAGUUGGAAUCGCUAGUAAUCGCGGAUCAGCACGCCGCGGUGAAUACGUUCCCGGGCCUUGUACACACCGCCCGUCACAUCACGAAAGCCGGUUGUACUAGAAGUCGCCACACCAACCCGCAAGGGAGGGAGGUGCCUAAGGUAUGGCCGGUGAUUGGGGUG